This 465-nucleotide ribosomal RNA is filed under the name uncultured bacterium. RNAcentral's name for it is "partial 16S ribosomal RNA". It matches the Rfam family "Bacterial small subunit ribosomal RNA", at positions 338 to 795 of the family's 1533-position model. The record is from RNAcentral.
CCUACGGGAGGCAGCAGUGGGGAAUUUUGGACAAUGGGCGCAAGCCUGAUCCAGCUAUUCCGCGUGUGGGAUGACGGCCCUCGGGUUGUAAACCACUUUUGUAGAGAACGAAAAGACACCUUUUAAUAAAGGGUGUUGCUGACGGUACUCUACGAAUAACCACCGGCUAACUACGUGCCAGCAUCCGCGGUAAUGCGUAGGGUGCGAGCGUUAAUCGGAAUUACUGGGCGUAAAGGGCGCGCAGGCGGUUGAGUAAGACAGAUGUGAAAUCCCAGGGCUUAACUGGGGAAUGGCAGAUGUGACGGCUCGACUAGAGUGUGUCAGAGGGAGGUGGAAUUCCAGGUGUAGCAGUGAAAUGCGUAGAUAUGUGGAAGAACACCGAUGGCGAAGGCAGCCUCCUGGGACAUAACUGACGCUCAGGCACGAAAGCGUGGGGAGCAAACAGGAGUAGAUACCCGAGUAGUC